GUUAUUCAAGCCUAGUUUGCCAAGAACAAAAUCGGCCCAAACAACUUUUCAAGACUAAGUCCUUAUCAAUUAACAUUUGCCUUCUACCCAAAUCAUGAACCAAAAGAAAUUAGUAUUAGGUGUAUAUUUUCACUCUCACACGUGCCCUUUCGUCCUCUUCUUAUUCUUUUCCAUUCUAAUGAAACUUUCCUCUUUUCAUCAAUACCUAAUAGAACUUGUCCCACCAAUUUUGGAUUAAAUAUUUUACCUCUCUCAUAAUCUAAUAUCUCAGAAUUAUCACUCUUAUCUGCAAUUGGAUUUGGUCAAUAGAAGAGUCCAAAGAACUUUUGGAUUUUUGAUUCUCUAUGACUGAGAUUUUCAGCGUUCAAACGGAUCUUUUUGAGUCAAGACACCAGCUCCUGAAGUCCUCCUAACGUUCAAAAUUUCAAAUAGUGGACUCGAUUUUGAAGUACCGCUCAAUCUUUCAUCCACAAAUUCUAGAAUUUUUCCGGGUAAUUUUAUCUUGUGUCUCACGCAACUUAUACUAGUAUUUUUUUGUUUCACAUAUUUAUGGUCUUACACAUUCGGGUCACAAAAUUCUGGGAUUCACAGAGGCUUCACACGGCACAAAAUAAAUUUUUUCACUUUUUCUUAUAAAUACUAGUGUUUUCUACAAGUAACAGGGGAUUCUUGAGCUGCUUCAUAUCCAUUUUUUAUACUUUGGCCGCCUCUACUUCCACCUAAAACAUAUAACACUUAGUAGUUCUUUCACUUUAAAGGGACGACUUUCGCAUCUAAGUUGUUGGAGUCCAAAUCUCCAGAUUCAUUGCCCCACAAUAGGUAAUAUCCCACGCCAUUUUCUCUUUCUAAUUAAACACACUGUAUUUGCCUAAAAGUUCAUGUCUUAGGUUCGCUUACUUUGUUAGUUGUUCUCACCUACUUGAAUGUUGUAUAGUAGAAGAAAACUUUCUGUUGAAGGUCUUUAUAACAGGGAGAAUGACUUUAGGAUGGUUAAAAUAUUAUUCUUUUUAUAUUCUAAAAUGCCUUGUUCGAAACAUUAUUGUAGUUUAAGAAUUCUACUCGCUUUGUAACUUCACACCGUAGCAUGAGUUUGUUCACUUCUGUUAAUUGAGAUGAAGUCUCGAUUCGCUAAAGCUAGCUGUCCAAUGUAGUUAUAUUUUUAAUUUAGAAAGAAUUCAUUUAAGUAUUAAGGCCUUAUGAAAUAGAACUUUAGUAUGGAAAUUUUCUAAAGAAAUACACUUAUAAACCAGUAGCUAAGAUAGGCUUAACGACCUAAAUUUCUCUUUGAUUUCUUACUAUUAUAUUGAAAACGAAUACAUACUACUUUCUCUUAGCAAUUUCAUGACACCAUGACUAUAGUUUCUUAUUUUCAUCUUCCGUGCUUGAGUCUAUAUGCUGGCUUUAAUUGUUCAAACUUAGCUAAUGAAGUAUUGUUAAUAGACUUCUCUAUAAGUAUAGUUUGUUCUAAAUCAUAGUUUGUUCUAAACAUAGAGUUACAUAUUUUCUAUCUCUUCAUAUGAAUUACUAGAUGACAGUUUAUUAGAGCUUUUUAUGUAUAUUACCACUAACUGUAUGUGUCCCCGUUGGAAUAUUGAGUUUGUUUAAAUAUAUAUGAUGUCCUAGUCUUAAUCUAUUGAUGUGAAUAGUGUGGCGUAAAUACAAUUGAAAUCAGAUAACAAUAUGACUUCUUUCACUUUAGCUAUUUCUUAUGAAUGUUCACAAUUUAGAUGUCUCUCCUCUAAUUAUUUUGUUUUCUUUCUUUCUUUGUUUUGCAUGAAUACCGGAGAUGAAGAGUCUGACUCAACAAUGCUGUAACACACAUGGAGACUACACAUCUCCGAGUCCCUUUUCAAGCUUUUACACUGUCUAGACAACAAAAUACAGAAGAAAAAUCUUCUGUAGAGCUGACAUGGCUCUUGACAAUUCCAUUUCUUUUGUUUUGUCUACAUGCUGAUGUAAUUAAUAUUCUAUGUGAUUGCUUGUAAAUAGCUAUACUUUAUAUAAUCAUUUAUAUCUUUGCUCUAACUAACAGUAGGAUACUUGGUUCCAUUAAUAUCUUUUGGCUUGGAAUCAAAAUCAGCUUUUAUAAAAAAACAUUUAAGUGCAAA
This 2108-nucleotide long non-coding RNA is filed under the name Nicotiana benthamiana. Its description in RNAcentral is "long non-coding RNA (NBEN_LNC005277)". The record is from RNAcentral. Lineage: Eukaryota; Viridiplantae; Streptophyta; Magnoliopsida; Solanales; Solanaceae.